GAUGAAGAACGCAGCGAAAUGCGAUAAGUAGUGUGAAUUGCAGAAUUCAGUGAAUCAUCGAAUCUUUGAACGCACAUUGCGCCCUUUGGUAUUCCUUAGGGCAUGCCUGUUCGAGCGUCAUUUAAACCUUCAAGCUCAGCUUGGUGUUGGGUGACUGUCCGCUGCCCUCGGGUGCGGACUCGCCUCAAAAUCAUUGGCGGCCGGUACAUUGGCUUCGAGCGCAGCAGAAACGCGAACUCGAGGACGUUGUAUUGGCUCCCAGAAGCUAUCUUCAUAAUUUUGACCUCGGAUCAGGUAGGGAUACCCGCUGAACUUAAGCAUAUCAAUAAGCGGAGGA
Molecule: unclassified non-coding RNA, 337 nt
Filed under: soil metagenome
Description: partial contains 5.8S ribosomal RNA, internal transcribed spacer 2, and large subunit ribosomal RNA
Rfam family: 5.8S ribosomal RNA (bases 1-120)
Source: RNAcentral